UACCAGCUCUCCGAGUGGUGUGGAUGUUUAUUGGGCCUAAAGCAUCCGUAGCUGGCUGGACAAGUCCCCUGUUAAAUCCACCGAUUUAAUCGUUGGAGUGCGGGGGAUACUGUUCGGCUAGGGGACGGGAGAGGCAGACGGUAUUUUCGGGGUAGGGGUGAAAUCCUAUAAUCCCGGGAAGACCACCAGUGGCGAAGGCUGUCUGCUAGAACGCGCCCGACGGUGAGGGAUGAAAGCUGGGGGAGCGAACCGGAUUAGAUACCCGGGUAGUCCCAGCUGUAAACGAUGCAGGCUAGGUGUUUGGGCGGCCACGUGCCGCUCUAGUGCCGCAGGGAAGCCGUUAAGCCUGCCGCCUGGGGAGUACGGCCGCAAGGCUGAAACUUAAAGGAAUUGGCGGGGAGCACCACGAAGGGGUGAAGCUUGCGGUUU
This 429-nucleotide ribosomal RNA is filed under the name uncultured archaeon. RNAcentral's name for it is "bacterial SSU rRNA". It matches the Rfam family "Archaeal small subunit ribosomal RNA", at positions 474 to 903 of the family's 1478-position model. The record is from RNAcentral.